AUUGAACGCUGGCGGCAUGCUUUACACAUGCAAGUCGAACGGCAGCGAGGAGAAGCUUGCUUCUCUGUCGGCGAGUGGCGAACGGGUGAGUAUAGCAUCGGAACGUGCCAAGUAGUGGGGGAUAACCAAACGAAAGUUUGGCUAAUACCGCGCAAGCUCUAAGGAGGAAAGUAGGGGACCUAAAUAAGGCCUUACGCUAUUUGAUCGGCCGAUGUCGGAUUAGCUAGUUGGUGGGGUAAUGGCUCACCAAGGCAAUGAUCCGUAGCGGGUCUGAGAGGACGAUCCGCCACACUGGGACUGAGACACGGCCCAGACUCCUACGGGAGGCAGCAGUGGGGAAUUUUGGACAAUGGGGGAAACCCUGAUCCAGCCAUGCCGCGUGUAUGAAGAAGGCCUUAGGGUUGUAAAGUACUUUUGUUAGGGAAGAAAAGCUAGUUUUUAAUAAAAAUUAGUGAUGACGGUACCUAAAGAAUAAGCACCGGCUAACUACGUG
RNAcentral lists this ribosomal RNA (493 nucleotides) under uncultured bacterium. RNAcentral describes it as "partial 16S ribosomal RNA". It matches the Rfam family "Bacterial small subunit ribosomal RNA", at positions 30 to 507 of the family's 1533-position model. The record is from RNAcentral.